GGGGGUGAACAGGGUUCGACGGGAAUAUUCGUUUGAUGUGUUGCAGGCCGCAGUUAACCGAACGGCUGCGUUAAAAAUCGGUUAAACAAAAUAACUGCCAGUUAUUCACCGGUAGUUGCUCACGCCUAAACCGCGAUGAGCCGCUCUCCUAAUCUUUUUUCUGCGAGAUUAGGGUAGAGUGUCAUAAAGCGGAAUAGUUCCGGUUUUUGCCGUGCAAAUCGGAGCGAAAUUUAACGGCUGGCGCUAAAUUGAUUCUGUCGGCGGAAGUGAUUUUGCGCGAAAUAAAACACCGACUAUGUCUGUAGUAACCGUCACACAGUAUUUUCGGACGCCGGUUCGAUUCCGGCCACCUCCACCA
This 358-nucleotide transfer-messenger RNA is filed under the name Elusimicrobiota. Its description in RNAcentral is "UBA8919 sp002402375 Standard tmRNA". It matches the Rfam family "transfer-messenger RNA". Rfam says of the family: Bacterial tmRNA, also known as 10Sa RNA or SsrA, is named for its dual tRNA and mRNA-like properties. Its role is to liberate the mRNA from a stalled ribosome. RNAcentral also lists the same sequence under 1 other name. The record is from RNAcentral. Lineage: Bacteria; Pseudomonadati.